ACACACACUUUUUGUUUGCUGCACAUAAUCUGCCCAAUGACGCGUGACAGCCCACGUCCCCUCCCUUUAACUCUUUGCUGGGCUGGGCGCUCCCUCCGGCGCCGCCUGCCUGGAAGCCUUCUCCCCGGCCUGCUGGAAGCCUUCUCCCGAGUCUGCCCCUUGCCUCAAGAAUCCAGAGCACCUUCCCGAGUGGCAACGCUUCUUCAAGAGCGGCGGGUCCAACUCUACCUAAAAGCUUGGGCCCUCUGAUACUGCUAGGAGGGGGAAAUCAGUUUCAGGAUCGGAAAGAAAGCUUUAGGAUAAAUCGGAUUGUGUAGCCGGCUAAAGGGCAAGAGGCAGAACCACGAUUUGAAGAGGAGACAAUCUCGGUCAGGCUCCCACCCCUGGGGUUGAAAUAAGGUGUGUAUAAUAGGGGUUGGCAAAAAGCCUCUUACUGUGUUAGUUGGAUCCAUUCACAGCUCUGAGACCUCUCCCUAUAACCCAGGGGUCAACAAGGCACUGAAUGUCUUUCCUUGCAGGCGCCUGCCCUCCAUGGAGGCAGGAGAUGGAAGGAUCUUGCAAAGCAGAAGUGAAGUGUAGGGUAAUUUCCCAAUGAGUUCAUUUCCAUAGGGUCUCUUCUCCCAGUUUAUCUUACCUGGUCAGCACCCCACACAAGUUUGCAGUCCUUCAGAUCAGACAGAGCCUCUACCUAGAUUAAGGUGGGACCCAAUAAGGAAAGGGCUACAAAAUUCUCCAUAUAUGGGAGAAAGGGCAGAAUUUUCCCUUCACUUGCAGGUUAGCUACUGAUUGUUCAAAGAAAGCUUCUUGAACUGCAGGGGUUUGUUUUUUUCAUCUUAAGGUGUCAUUUCUCUUAUGCAAAUAUAUGCAGUUUUAAGUAGUUUGGCUGAGUGACCCCUAAUAACAGAGACUCAGUACAAUGAAGGCUAGCAUGUCUGCAUAUGAAAAUCUGCAGGUGUAUUUAGUUAUCUUGAUGGCUGCUCCAUCAUGUCUCAUAUUCAACUGUCCUCUCCCCAUCCCAAUCAUUUCUUUAAAGGACCGGUGGGAGAGUUACAAAUGUUGAAAAGAUUGCUUCAAACAUCUGGGGAAAAAACACUCAAGACAGAAGAAUAGUGGCAAGAUUCUUAAGUGAAAUGAGAGAAGAGAAGGAAAAGAAAGAACAGGAGAAAAAGGACAGCAAGUUAAGACUCAAAAGUAGCCAAAACAGAAGUGCAGUCCUGCAGAAAUCACAGCAAGAUACAGCGUGUACUGGGGUGGUGUGAGGGUGGUGUUCAGGGAUUUAAUUCCAUUAAUCUGAGGAAUAGAACACUUCUUUGUGCCUGUUUUAGAUAUUCUUUAGAAAACACACAGUUUGUCUUUUCCAGAAAAAAGUCAUCUGUCCAUGCAAGCCACUUUUGUAAUCCUAUCACACACAGUAAAUGUAAAAGCAUCCACUCCAGAAGAUGGGCAUUUAGAAGCUCUAAAUGGAAGACAUUUUUCUUGUGCCUUGCUUUUUUUCUUAAGUAUAGAGAAUUUCUCCUUUCUCCUUUCUACUAUGUCUCUUUUACAUAUGAGACCUUGUCUCCAGUUUGUAUAAUACAAAGUGUUUCUGGUACUUAAAAUGGGGGUGGGUAAACUUGACCUUUAAAUCUCAAGCUAGAAAAGGACUACAAUUGUAUACAUCAGAGAAAGGAGAGGUUUAUUGAGAAUCUGGCCUUCAGAUGUUUCAUCUAAGUUUCUUUUUCUUUUUCUCUUUCUUUCUUUCUUUCUUUUUAAAAAAUUUUUUUUUUGCCUAAAUUAGAUUCCUUCUCCUGCUUUUUUAAAAAAUCCUCCCAUUAUAUGGAUCCAACCAACUCUUUGUUUUAUGGACCAAAUGACUAACUUAACAACAGCAAUAAAAAUCAAAUAUGGGUAAGAAAUUCAUGCUUGGAGAGUUUUCCAGUAUUUUAAGUAGUACACAUUUUACAUGGUAAUAUAAAUGGUGUAAAUGACAAUCAUUAAUAGUAGAUUUAAAAAAUCACAAAUUAUUUUUAUUUCUCUAGAACUUCACAGGUUAGAACAGGUUAGAAUGGUGCAAAAACUACUUUGAAAUCACUUACUAGAAUACAGUGAUACUAAAUGAAGGGUUGAGGAAUUUAUUCAGUCUCAGACAGUACUAUAAAAAUAUACCUCAGUCAAUAGUUUUAUGUAAUUGACACGGAAUGAUGGGUUUAUGCAUACAUUUGGAGCUCUUUUCCCUGGGAUUUUAUUUCCAAUUAAGUGGUUAGAAGAAUGACAAUGAAGAGUAUGCUCACCUUAUUCUGCUUUAGCAAGACUUCUUGUAAUCAUGGAAAAAAUACACAUGUAGACAACUGCAGUGUUGUUGGGAAGAGAAGUCUGGAGAGAAGUUGAUGAAUGAUUCUGAAGUGGUGCCUUUUAUGACCUAAGUGAGAGGGUGGAGAAUGAGUGAGAAAGGAAAUCUGAUUCUCAGUGAAUAUCAGAAGAAGAAUGCUCUUUCUCUUCCAGGGUCCAGAAAAUAUCUUAAUUUCUGUAAUAGGAAACAAGUAAAAAUAACCCUGCAAAUAAUCUUACUUUGAAGAUUAUCCUAUAAGAAUGAAAACACAUUGUUUUCCUAUUCCAGGUCCCAGUUCAUCCCUUCUAAUUAUUUUUCCAAAGCAAUACACCAGCAAAGGUUUGCUUGUCAAAAGUGUGGCAAUUCAUAGCGAAAAGAAAAUUGCACUUGAAGACAAGAGGAUGCCAAUGAAGCAGAUGAAGCAGACGGUGGCAGCUCUUCCCUAAGUUUAUUAAUUUCCCACAGAGAGGUCUGUGCAUGGGGCUAUUGGGAGUUGUGGGAGACAGAGAAUGGAACUUCAUGGAGAAGUAUUGCAUUACCUAACCCUGACAUCCAGAAUAAGGAACUUUCUAAGAGAUAAACUUGACUGAUUACUUGUACAUGAAGGAGAAACAGAAAUAAUGGUUUGGUGGGUAGGGAAAAACCACCAGUCUUGUACCAAAAGUGUUGUUCAGAGGAUUGUUAACUCAUUUCUUUUGCCUUUUGUCAGGAGAAUGAUAACUGGGAGUUUAAGAAGGGAAAGUGAGAAGCUGGGGAUAUAGCUUGCCUUGCAUGCACAAGGCCUUGGGUUCAAUCCCCAGCACCACACACACACACACACACACACACACAAAAAAAAAAGAUAGAGGGAGGGAGUAUCUUAAUCUGACUAUUUCUUUAUUAUAUCUUGAUGAGUAAAGAAGAUCUGCUGCUGAACUGCAGAAGGGUUUAUAGGGAAUGAGGGGGGCACCCUGUAUUUUUAUAAGUAUACAUGACCAGCUCUGUUUAGGUCUGGUCAUUACACCAAGUAUUUGGGUUGGUUCACUGGGUGAUAAAUGAGUAAAUGUUACCCAGGCUGGUCCUGAGAAAGCCAGAGACUCAGGAGUGGAUAAUUCUGUAGCCUUGAAGAAGGUCUUCAAUUCUGACUGUAGAAAUCAUGAUUCUGGAUUCACUUUUGUCUGCUUCUCAAUAAACACUACUGUUUUAAUGCUGAUGAUGAUACCACUAGUAUUAUCAUCAUGAUUAAAAAUCUCCCUUUCUCAAGUUUAAAAUCUUUCUCUGUGAGGAAUGAUAAUUCCAUUUACACUUCUUUUGGAGUUCAUCAUUGAAAGUUUUGUGUUGCCCUCUCCUGUUAACCUCUACUGGAUCUGACCUGUAGUCAACUGGCUCAAUGGCUUCAGUGUAUGACUUUCAGGAGAGCUAACAAAUUAAAGUGAUCUACCACAGAUCUGAAA
Non-coding RNA from Ictidomys tridecemlineatus (thirteen-lined ground squirrel), 3741 nucleotides. Lineage: Eukaryota; Metazoa; Chordata; Mammalia; Rodentia; Sciuridae. The record is from RefSeq and is a predicted model, not a curated record.